This 207-nucleotide long non-coding RNA is filed under the name Elaeis guineensis (African oil palm). Its description in RNAcentral is "long non-coding RNA (EGUI_LNC078594)". The record is from RNAcentral. Lineage: Eukaryota; Viridiplantae; Streptophyta; Magnoliopsida; Arecales; Arecaceae.
GGGCGCCGGACUCCGCCCAAAACUCCAACUGCAAGUAGACUCCACCCGGACUCCUACGGGAGCCGAGCUCCGUCCCCAACUUCAACUGCUGGUAAGCUUCGUUCGGACUCCUACGGGAGCCGGACUUCACCCCUGACUUUAAUUGCAGGAAGACUCUGACCGAACCCCUACGGGAGCCGGGCCUCGCCCCCGACUCCGACUGCAGAC